GGUAAUUCUGGAGCUAAUACAUGCACCAAAGCUUCGACCUUACGGGAGGAGUGCAUUUAUUAGAACAAAACCCAGCGACCACGCAAGUGGUCGUCUUUUGUUGACUCAGAAUAACUAAGCUGAUCGCAUGGUCUUGCACCGGCGACGUGUCUUUCAAGUAUCUGCCUUAUCAACUUUCGAUGGUAGUGUAUCUGACUACCAUGGUUGUGACGGGUAACGGAGGAUAAGGGUUCGACUCCGGAGAAGGGGCCUGAGAAAUGGCCACUACGUCUAAGGAUGGCAGCAGGCGCGCAAAUUACCCACUCUCAGAGCAUUGAGGAGGUAGUGACGAAAAAUAACGAGACCGAUCUCUUUGAGGCCGGUCAUCGGAAUGGGUACAAUCUAAACCCUUUAACGAGUAUCUAUGAGAGGGCAAGUCUGGUGCCAGCAGCCGCGGUAAUUCCAGCUCUCAAAAUGCAUAGAAUUAUUGCUGCGGUUAAAAAGCUCGUAGUUGGAUCUGUGCAGGGGCGUCGGUCCACCUUCGGGUGUGCACUGGCUCACCCCGGCUUUUGUGUCGGUUCGUCCACUUGUGGCCUUCACUGGUCGCUUGUGGUGGCUGACGAUUUUACUUUGAACAAAUCAGAGUGCUUAAUACAAGCGUUUCGCUUGAAUGUUCUUGCAUGGAAUAAUAGAAGAGGAUUUCGGUUCUAUUUUAUUGGUUUUAUAGACUGAGAUAAUGGUUAACAGAGACAAACGGGGGCAUUCGUAUCGUUGCGUGAGAGGUGAAAUUCUUGGACCGCAGCGAGACGAACUACAGCGAAAGCAUUUGCCAAGAAUGUCUUCAUUAAUCAAGAACGAAAGUCAGAGGUUCGAAGGCGAUCAGAUACCGCCCUAGUUCUGACCGUAAACGAUGCCAACUAGCGAUCCGCCGGCGGAUAUUUCGCCCUGGUGGGGAGCUUCCCGGAAACGAAAGUCUUCCGGUUCCGGGGGAAGUAUGGUUGCAAAGCUGAAACUUAAAGGAAUUGACGGAAGGGCACCACCAGGAGUGGAGCCUGCGGCUUAAUUUGACUCAACACGGGGAAACUCACCCGGCCCGGACACCGUAAGGAUUGACAGAUUGAUAGCUUUUUCAUGAUUCGGUGGAUGGUGGUGCAUGGCCGUUCUUAGUUCGUGGAGCGAUUUGUCUGGUUUAUUCCGAUAACGAGCGAGACUCUAGCCUACUAACUAGUUCACACAUUGCUUCUGUGUGUGCAACUUCUUAGAGGGAUUUUCGGUGUUCAGCCGCACGAGAUUGAGCAAUAACAGGUCUGUGAUGCCCUUAGAUGUCCGGGGCUGCACGCGCGCUACACUGGCGAAAUCAGCGUGCUUGUCCUUUCUCGAAAGAGAUUGGUAAACCAUUGAAAAUUUGCCGUGAUUGGGAUCGGAAAUUGCAAUUAUUUUCCGUGAACGAGGAAUUCCAAGUAAGUGCGAGUCAUCAACUCGCGUUGAUUACGUCCCUGCCCUUUGUACACACCGCCCGUCGCUGCCCGGGACUGAGCCAUUUCGAGAAAUUUGGGGAUCGUUGACUCGCGGUUCACGCCCUCGGGUGGGGAUUGCUUUUCGGUGAGAACCAAUUUAAUCGCAGUGGCUUGAACCGGGCAAAAGUCGUAACAAGGUAGC
This 1638-nucleotide ribosomal RNA is filed under the name Basiria sp. fafu11. Its description in RNAcentral is "SSU rRNA". It matches the Rfam family "Eukaryotic small subunit ribosomal RNA". The record is from RNAcentral. Lineage: Eukaryota; Metazoa; Nematoda; Chromadorea; Rhabditida; Tylenchidae.